GGUUGAAAUCCAGAAGGCGGUCAACCACCAUAAAAAUUUAGAUGGAGUCUGGCUAUUGUAGAAAUCUCAUUAUCGGAGAAACUCGAAUAUUGACGAAGUCCGGAAGAAGUUCGAAAGGGAUUCGGAGAAUAGUUGAUCAUUGUAGAAGGUCGGCUGAUAGUGAGGCCCAAAGAGCCUUUGGAGCAGCCCAGUAGAUGAAUGGAGAAGCUUAUUGUCGGAGAAGUUCGGACGGUUGAGGGGGUUCAAAGAGACGCCACACA
This 260-nucleotide long non-coding RNA is filed under the name Elaeis guineensis (African oil palm). RNAcentral's name for it is "long non-coding RNA (EGUI_LNC069005)". The record is from RNAcentral. Lineage: Eukaryota; Viridiplantae; Streptophyta; Magnoliopsida; Arecales; Arecaceae.